GACAGAGGAUGCAAGCGUUAUCCGGAAUGAUUGGGCGUAAAGCGUCUGUAGGUGGCUUUCAAGUUCCGCCGUCAAAUCCCAGGGCUCAACCCUGGACAGGCGGUGGAAACUACCAAGCUGGAGUACGGUAGGGGCAGAGGGAAUUUCCGGUGGAGCGGUGAAAUGCAUUGAGAUCGGAAAGAAACACCAACGGCGAAAGCAGCUCUAGCUGGGCCGACACUGACACUGAGAGACGAAAGCU
This 241-nucleotide ribosomal RNA is filed under the name uncultured bacterium. Its description in RNAcentral is "partial 16S ribosomal RNA". It matches the Rfam family "Bacterial small subunit ribosomal RNA", at positions 524 to 761 of the family's 1533-position model. The record is from RNAcentral.